AAUCUGGGGUCGACGACCCUCGAGUUGUAAUUUGGAGAGGCAUCCUCCGGGAGGAGCGCUGGCCCAGGUUCCUUGGAACAGGACGUCACAGAGGGUGAGAAUCCCGUGCCAGGCUGGCUGCCUCCUCCGGCGUGGAGGGCCUUCGACGAGUCGAGUUGUUUGGGAAUGCAGCUCCAAGUGGGUGGUAGAUUUCAUCUAAAGCUAAAUACCGGCGGGAGACCGAUAGCGCACAAGUAGAGUGAUCGAAAGAUGAAAAGCACUUUGAAAAUAGAGUCAAAAAGUACGUGAAAUUGUUGGAAGGGAAGCGCUUGAGGCCAGACUCGGACCCGAGCAAACAUCGAGCCCCUCGGGGCCGUGCAAUUGCUCGGUGCCGGGCCAGCAUCGGUUGGCGUGGCGGGACAAAGGUGCGGGGAAUGUGGCUCCCCUCGGGGUGUGUUAUCAGGCCCGCGCCCCAUGCCGUCGACGCCGACCGUGGACCGCGCCCUACGGGCUAGGAUGCUGGCUUAAUGGCCUUCAGCGACCCGUCUUGAAACACGGACCAAGGAGUCUAACAUCUAUGCGAGUGUUUGGGCGUCAAACCCUUGCGCGUAAUGAAAGUGAGCGGAGGUGGGAACCCCUCACCGGGCGCACCAUCGACCGAUCCUGAUGUCUUCGGAUGGAUUUGAGUA
Molecule: ribosomal RNA, 668 nt
Filed under: Helvella corium
Lineage: Eukaryota; Fungi; Ascomycota; Pezizomycetes; Pezizales; Helvellaceae
Description: eukaryotic LSU rRNA
Rfam family: Eukaryotic large subunit ribosomal RNA
Source: RNAcentral